ACACAUGCAAGUCGAGGGGCAGCGGGGCGGAAGCUUGCUUUCGCCGCCGGCGACCGGCGCACGGGUGAGUAACACGUAUGGAACCUGCCCUCAGCAGGGGGAUAAGCGGAAGAAAUUCCGUCUAAUACCGCAUAACGCCCCGGGGAGACAUCUCCCCGGGGCCAAAGGAAGCAAUUCCGGCAGAGGAUGGCCAUGCGGCGCAUUAGCUAGUCGGCGGGGUAACGGCCCACCGAGGCGACGAUGCGUAGGGGUUCUGAGAGGAAGGUCCCCCACACUGGUACUGAGACACGGACCAGACUCCUACGGGAGGCAGCAGUGAGGAAUAUUGGUCAAUGGGCGAAAGCCUGAACCAGCCAAGUCGCGUGAGGGAAGACGGUCCUAUGGAUUGUAAACCUCUUUUGUCGGGGAGCAAGGCUCGGUACGUGUACCGAGAAGGAGAGUACCCGAAGAAAAAGCAUCGGCUAACUCCGUGCCAGCAGCCGCGGUAAUACGGAGGAUGCGAGCGUUAUCCGGAUUUAUUGGGUUUAAAGGGUGCGUAGGCGGAUUGUUAAGUCAGCGGUAAAAAUUCGGGGCUCAACCCCGUAGUGCCGUUGAAACUGGCGGUCUUGAGUGGGCGAGAAGUAUGCGGAAUGCGUGGUGUAGCGGUGAAAUGCAUAGAUAUCACGCAGAACUCCGAUUGCGAAGGCAGCAUACCGGCGCCCAACUGACGCUGAGGCACGAAAGCGUGGGGAUCGAACAGGAUUAGAUACCCUGGUAGUCCACGCAGUAAACGAUGAAUGCUAACUGUCCGGGUCGAUUAAGGC
Molecule: ribosomal RNA, 803 nt
Filed under: uncultured bacterium
Lineage: Bacteria
Description: bacterial SSU rRNA
Rfam family: Bacterial small subunit ribosomal RNA
Source: RNAcentral